GUGCUUGCUUUGGCAGCACAUAUACUAAAAUUGGAAUGAUACAGAGAAGAGUAGCAUGGUCCCUAUAUAAAGAUGAAAAACAAAUUCAUGAAGCAUUCCAUAAUUUU
Choloepus hoffmanni (Hoffmann's two-fingered sloth) is the source of this 107-nucleotide small nuclear RNA. NCBI's taxonomy places the organism in Eukaryota, Metazoa, Chordata, Mammalia, Pilosa, Megalonychidae. The record is from Ensembl.